AUUGAACGCUGGCGGCAGGCCUAACACAUGCAAGUCGAGCGGAUGAAGGGAGCUUGCUCCUGGAUUCAGCGGCGGGCGGGUGAGUAAUGCCUAGGAAUCUGCCUGGUAGUGGGGGAUAACGUCCGGAAACGGGCGCUAAUACCGCAUACGUCCUGAGGGAGAAAGUGGGGGAUCUUCGGACCUCACGCUAUCAGAUGAGCCUAGGUCGGAUUAGCUAGUUGGUGGGGUAAAGGCCUACCAAGGCGACGAUCCGUAACUGGUCUGAGAGGAUGAUCAGUCACACUGGAACUGAGACACGGUCCAGACGCCUACGGGAGGCAGCAGUGGGGAAUAUUGGACAAUGGGCGAAAGCCUGAUCCAGCCAUGCCGCGUGUGUGAAGAAGGUCUUCGGAUUGUAAAGCACUUUAAGUUGGGAGGAAGGGCAGUAAGUUAAUACCUUGCUGUUUUGACGUUACCAACAGAAUAAGCACCGGCUAACUUCGUG
RNAcentral lists this ribosomal RNA (484 nucleotides) under uncultured bacterium. RNAcentral describes it as "partial 16S ribosomal RNA". It matches the Rfam family "Bacterial small subunit ribosomal RNA", at positions 30 to 507 of the family's 1533-position model. The record is from RNAcentral.